AUGGUGAAGCAACUCAAGGUGUUGAUGCCCUCUUGCCUCCACAAGCUGCGCAUCUCCGACCAGUUCGCCGAGCACUUGGGUGCCUGUGCACGAGGAACCGGGAUGCCCCACCCAAAGGUCUUUGUAGUCAGCUCAUUCGGCAAAAUCUUUCACGUCGAUAUCGGCCGGGAUGGCAAGGGCGCGUUCUUGGGUUACGGAUGGCCCGAGUUCGUGAAAGCGAGCGGCUUCGGCUUAGGGUGGUUCUUGGUGCUCCAGCAUGAAGGUCGUGGGGUGCUCACCGUCAAGGCCUUCGACCUCACGUGGUGCCUCAAGGAGUUGGGCGGCUUUCCGCCCUCUACAGGUAGGUUACUGAAGAAACGGGGUAAGUUUAGAGUUAGAGGGAAGGCAGAUUUGUCCCUCUGUUACCUAAUAACGAUUCAGUUUUCAUCAGUUCAUAAUGGCCAUACAUACAUACUGGUAACUGAAGGAGGCAUCAUGUUUGAUUGUAGAACCUAG
RNAcentral lists this ribosomal RNA (495 nucleotides) under Triticum aestivum (bread wheat). RNAcentral's name for it is "partial small subunit ribosomal RNA". Lineage: Eukaryota; Viridiplantae; Streptophyta; Magnoliopsida; Poales; Poaceae. The record is from RNAcentral.